GAAACUAAACUCAGAUUUUAAUUGAACAGAAAGUAUUAUUCAUGACAAUUUUUUUUCUAAGAUAAAUGAAGUAGUCCUUUAAAAAUACUCCACUUUUAGAAAUGUUAGACAUUUAUUCAUUUUCUUACUGGUAGCUCUUUUCCUGGCUGUAAUAAGAAUAUGCACAAAUAAUUGUACAUUUUGAUUUUGAAUAUUACAACCCAAAAUUCAAAGUGAUUUUUUCAUAUAGGUUAGGUACCAUUGGAAGUAUAAAAUAGCAAGCAAGUGAACAUUUUUCCUGUGAUAUAUACAUAAAUAUUUUCAUGUAAACAAAAGCAAAUAUUAAGUUAAGUAUCCUUGUCAGCAACUGAAAUACAUAGAUUUAAAUGGUUGUUUUAUUUUUUCCAUGCUUCCAUUGAACACAACUGGCGUAAAGAGCAAUAGGAAUUGGAUGAAUCUUUGCAUUCCCCUUACUCUUCAGGAGGUUACAUACAAUAAAGAUACCUCUCAUCUAGAAAAGAAAAUAUGAGAGGAAUCAGAUU
RNAcentral lists this long non-coding RNA (521 nucleotides) under Bos taurus (domestic cattle). Its description in RNAcentral is "long non-coding RNA NONBTAT025500". Lineage: Eukaryota; Metazoa; Chordata; Mammalia; Artiodactyla; Bovidae. The record is from RNAcentral.